This 497-nucleotide ribosomal RNA is filed under the name uncultured bacterium. RNAcentral describes it as "partial 16S ribosomal RNA". It matches the Rfam family "Bacterial small subunit ribosomal RNA", at positions 28 to 507 of the family's 1533-position model. The record is from RNAcentral.
GAUGAACGCUGGCGGCGUGCCUAAUACAUGCAAGUCGAGCGAAGGGACGAGAAGCUUGCUUUUCUGAUGUUAGCGGCGGACGGGUGAGUAACACGUGGAUAACCUACCUAUAAGACUGGGAUAACUUCGGGAAACCGGAGCUAAUACCGGAUAAUAUUUUGAACCGCAUGGUUCAAAAGUGAAAGACGGUCUUGCUGUCACUUAUAGAUGGAUCCGCGCUGGAUUAGCGAGUUGGUAAGGUAACGGCUUACCAAGGCAACGAUGCAUAGCCGCCAUGAGAGGGAGAUCGGCCACACUGGAACUGAGACACGGUCCAGACUCCUACGGGAGGCAGCAGUAGGGAAUCUUCCGCAAUGGGCGAAAGCAUGACGGAGCAACGCCGCGUGAGUGAUGAAGGUCUUCGGAUCGUAAAACUCUGUUAUUAGGGAAGAAAAUAUGUGUAAGUAACUGUGCACACCUUGACGGUACCUAAUCAGAAAGCCACGGCUAACUACGUG